Chelonia mydas (Green sea turtle) is the source of this 2137-nucleotide long non-coding RNA. RefSeq lists it as uncharacterized. The record is from RefSeq and is a predicted model, not a curated record. The transcript is spliced from 5 exons. Lineage: Eukaryota; Metazoa; Chordata; Testudines; Cheloniidae.
CGAUCCGAGAGGGGCGGGUCUCUUACCGGCUGGCCCCGCCCCUGAGCUCGCGGGCGCUCAGGCUGGGUAGGCGCGGGAGAGCGGGUGGCGGGCACUGGGCCCUCGCGGGGCGGUGUCACGUGACCUGCGCCGCAGCAGGGACGGGGGCCUGCCGCGGGCUGCGUGCGCGUGCGGCAGGUUGAAGCCCGCUGCUCUUUCCCCCGUCCCCCGGGGCCUGCCCUGCCCUGCGCGAUCGAGGGGUGUGCCUCAAAAAAAGGGGGAGGGGGGCCGUCCCCUGCCCGGCACUGGACCCCUCCUACUAGCAGUCACGGAGAGCGAGCGUGGCUCAGAACGUUCCCAGGGAGAGGGAGGGUUUUGCAACAGCCUCUGGGGGCUUUGUGCAAUUUCCUGUUAAAUUAUAAAUAAACGUGUGGCUUUUAAACAAUGUUCAGUGGGAAUGGAGCUCCUAGGUUAUGUAUGCUGAGGCUCAGGGACAAAAGCUAUGGGAAAAGCACUGCACAGCAGGCGCUGGGGCAGAGGCCGCCUUUCAGAAUUGCUCCCUGGAUUGGCUGUCUCCCGCUUCGUGCUUUGGAGCAACAAGUUAUCCUGGAUAUUUACAGAUAAAUAGGGGUUCUUCCUUCAUCCAUUGCCUUAGUGCCUGUCAGCAUCUCUGCUAAAACCUAGAGAACAUUUUUAUAGAUAAGAUGGGCACAAACCAGCACUCCAGAUCUGAAUAACCUUUGAGAGAGAGUUUGGAACCAGAUCAUACUCUGACCUUGUGUGGAUGACUCUCUAACAAGAUAGAAGGCACUACCUAAACCUAUAUUCAUCAUGGAUAAAUUCAAACACAAUUUCCUCCUCUCCUUUCAUGUGUUGAUAUGAAGGAGUAUCAAUUGGUUUCUUGGGAGACAAAGCAGGAAGAACACCUUUGGGAAGAUCAGGGAUCCAGACCCAGGAUCACAGGACUUGGAUACACCACAAGCUGGGAAGUUUUUUCUGAUGAUGUUAACUUCCUUUUGUUCCUAUUUAUAAACACUAAACUCUGCAGAAAAGAUCUUGUAGACGGUACCUAUGUUUUUCUCUACUAGCCAUUCCAUCGAAUUAUGUGAUCUAAAUCAGAGUCGCAUGUAUGCAUUUCAGGGAAGAAUUUGGCUCUCUUUCAUUGGUUUUUAUUGAAUGGAUAUUAAAUCUCCAGCUGAUCUGAGUGUCUUAUGUUUGAAAAACUUGAUCAGAUAUAUGAGAAAAAAAACCUAUGUGCACAGAAUAUAACCAGAUAUCUGCAAACUGUAAUAGCAAAGGUUAAUAUAUAUAUAAAAAAAGACAACUUACUAUUCCACAACCAAAGAUGUCAAUUUUUUGUGUUAGCUGUCCAUGCCUGACAAAAUCUUCUGGCAGGUAAGUGAGGGAAGCUUGUAAAACUUUGGUUUUCAUCACAGCAUAGUCUGAUUUUUUUUCCACAGAAUACAGUCGGAGACCGGAAUGUCCAAGUUUUGGUGUGAAGUUUUCAUCCAGCAAAACAUUGGAGCUGCAUAAAGUAAGACAAAUACCAAUAGUGAUCAAUCCAUUCACACCGGAAUGUAGAGUCUUAUGGACUCCAGGAUGAGAGUCCUAUAUGGAUAUCCCCUGAAGUUAGAAAAUUCACAUCCAGGAUUCCUCUCAGCCCUGUCUGUGAUAUGUUGACAUCCCUACUGAGUUCAUUUUCUACUCCACAAUUUCUCUUCCAUGAUAGCAAAAUAAACACGGGUUGUGUGAAAUUGUGACUGCUCUUCUACAUGAUCAGUCCCUAGGUUUUUCACAAUUCAGUUUUGGUAGUUUUGCUGUUGUGAGAAAUUUUGCACAAUGGGGGAAUUUGCAUUGAACACAGUUGAAAAUGUGAAUUUUGUUGUACGUACAGACUCGGCUUACAAAAAAGGCUUAGUCUGGAUUAAAAUGUCGCUCAUUUUUGGGAGAAGUUUCACUCCUUUGCCUCAAAAAUGGGUCCUCCUUCACUGAAAAAUGUCCUAUUUCCAAGUGAAACAUUCUUAAACUUGUUGUGACUUUUUUGUGAAAGGGCAAUUUUAGAGUUCACAAGGAAAUGUAAAUAAGCUCAGUUGUGGAGUGAUUUCAGUUACAUUGCUAAAGUUUCACACAGCUAUAAAAUAAACAUUUUAACCAUCUA